CGGCAUGGAUUAGGCAUGCAAGUGAACGAACUCCUCGGAGUGAGUAGCGGAAGGGUGAGGAACGCGUGAGUAAUCUGCCCCCCAGUUGGGAAUAACAGUUGGAAACGACUGCUAAUACCGAAUGUGGCUUAAGCUUCGCCUGGAGCUUUGGCUAAAGAUUUAUCGCUGGGGGAUGAGCUCGCGUCCCAUUAGGUAGUUGGUGAGGUAACGGCUCACCAAGCCGACGAUGGGUAGCUGGUCUGAGAGGAUGGUCAGCCACACUGGGACUGAGACACUGCCCAGACUCCUACGGGAGGCUGCAGUCGAGAAUCUUGGGCAAUGCGCGAAAGCGUUGACCCAGCAAUGCCGCGUGUAUGAUGAAGGCCCUCGGGUCGUAAAGUACUGUCUCCCGUGACGAAAUUUGACGGUAGCGGGGAAGGGAGCCACGGCUAACUACGUGCCAGCCGCUGC
This 450-nucleotide ribosomal RNA is filed under the name uncultured bacterium. RNAcentral's name for it is "bacterial SSU rRNA". It matches the Rfam family "Bacterial small subunit ribosomal RNA", at positions 40 to 518 of the family's 1533-position model. The record is from RNAcentral.